This is a long non-coding RNA of Perognathus longimembris pacificus (Pacific pocket mouse), 162 nucleotides long. RefSeq lists it as uncharacterized. The transcript has 3 exons. NCBI's taxonomy places the organism in Eukaryota, Metazoa, Chordata, Mammalia, Rodentia, Heteromyidae. The record is from RefSeq and is a predicted model, not a curated record.
GGGGAAGGAUGAAAGGGGUGACAGUGAUCGGCAUAUAUUGUACUCAUGAUCUGACAUGGAACUGAAAUUCACCUGUACAGCUACUUAAAGAUAGUAAUAAUUUUUACUGGUUGGGAUGUGUUUCCUCGUGUGUGUGUGUGUGUGUGUGUGUGUGUGUGUGUU